AUUGAACGCUGGCGGCAUGCCUUACACAUGCAAGUCGAACGGCAGCACGGGAGCAAUCCUGGUGGCGAGUGGCGAACGGGUGAGUAAUAUAUCGGAACGUGCCCAGUGAUGGGGGGAUAGCCCGGCGAAAGCCGGAUUAAUACCGCAUACGACCUACGGGUGAAAGCAGGGGAUCGCAAGACCUUGCGUCAUUGGAGCGGCCGAUAUCAGAUUAGCUUGNGGUGGGGUAAAGCCUACCAAGGCGACGAUCUGUAGCUGGUCUGAGAGGACGACCAGCCACACUGGGACUGAGACACGGCCCAGACUCCUACGGGAGGCAGCAGUGGGGAAUUUUGGACAAUGGGCGCAAGCCUGAUCCA
RNAcentral lists this ribosomal RNA (359 nucleotides) under uncultured bacterium. Its description in RNAcentral is "bacterial SSU rRNA". It matches the Rfam family "Bacterial small subunit ribosomal RNA", at positions 30 to 390 of the family's 1533-position model. The record is from RNAcentral.